This is a long non-coding RNA of Cervus elaphus (red deer), 599 nucleotides long. RefSeq lists it as uncharacterized. The transcript has 3 exons. Lineage: Eukaryota; Metazoa; Chordata; Mammalia; Artiodactyla; Cervidae. The record is from RefSeq and is a predicted model, not a curated record.
UGCUUCCAGUCGAAGAGAUUGAAGCCUGAAGAGGAAAACACAGAAGUAUCCUCUCUACUGACUGCAAGAUGUUCUUUAGGCUCUACAGUGAGGCGCUGGGAGGGCUGAAUAUGACCCGGGGACCUGAAGACCUAGGCCCAGUCUAAAUAGGAAGCUUUAAGCACUGGCAACUCCAUUUAACUAAUAAGGACAACAAUUAUUUCAUGGAUCUCAAGAUUUCACAGAAUGUAAUUUGGGAAAAGUUACCUUAGGAAAAACUAGACUGUAAUCAUUCUGGAAAAGAUAAGACCACAGCAUGGUGAUAAAUGUCAAGAAGACGUUAUUCAUCCAUUUAGGAACUCGUUCUUAUGGCAGACACUUAUGAAGCACUUACUCUGGGUCAGACGUUGUGCUCAACUACUACAGCUAAGAUGCUGAACAUGACAUACUCCUGGCCCUUAAGAAGAUCACUGUCUCAAGUUCAGGGAUGACAAAUACGUGCCUGGUGUGUUACUAUUCUGCAUUCAUACAUCCAGGACAGUUAUCCUUAAUCGAUCUCUACACACCCUCUGGCUGAAUCCGAACAUGGACUCAGACUUCAUCUCAACACUGCUCCACAC